This is an RNA transcript of Rhagoletis zephyria (snowberry fruit fly), 2073 nucleotides long. It is a transcript of the gene named LEM domain-containing inner nuclear membrane protein MAN1, with no coding region annotated. NCBI's taxonomy places the organism in Eukaryota, Metazoa, Arthropoda, Insecta, Diptera, Tephritidae. The record is from RefSeq and is a predicted model, not a curated record.
AAUUUUUCAUACCAUAUUAAAAUAUAAGAUGAAUACCUUUGAGGAGCUAAGUGAUGUCGAAUUGAGGCAGAAAUUAUUAGUCCUUGGAUAUCCUAAAAUACCUAUCACAGAGACUACGCGUGGUAUACUCAUAAAUAAAUUACGAAAAAACUUCAAAUCCAACUCUAUGCUGUCACACCGUAGGAAUCCUGGUCAGAUGUCUAAACAUGAUUUGCCAAUGACUCGGCGCAUAUAUAAUAUUAAGUCCACAGUUAAGGAAGAAAUGCAGACCGCUAACUGCACUGAACAUAAAUAUAAUCGCACUCUUAAAGAGUACUUGCCUUUUACUGUGAGUGGCCUGCAACAUACUGAUCAUUUAUAUUCACCUACGACGGAUUUUAUUCUAAGUUCGCCAGAAACGAAUGUUUCCAAUACCUCCUGCAAAGAAUCUCAUUUAGGAGUUGUAAGCAGAUUAUUGAGUUUCCGGGAAAAAACGUUUCGAAAACCAAAAGCAUGUGAACAUAAUUUCCAAACACUUCUGUCGUUACCAAAAGAAACUAACAAAUAUCUCAGCAAAUCAAAGAGGACGAUGUGUGAUUUUUUAUCGUAUAUAAGCACUCAAUCCCUGCUAAAUCAAAGCUUUAAACCUUGCGUGCUAGUUGGAACGUUCAUAGUAUUUUUUAUUUGCUUGGGAUUAAUUUACAUAUUUCAAAGUCCAAAGCAUUUGCAAACUUACAAUUUCGUAAGUCAAAUACCGGUAUGCGAUGGUACCUUCACAACAGAUGAUUGUUUGUCUCCAGUCGACGCGGAUAUUGCAAUUAAUUUAAUAGCGGAAAUUGAGAAAACCCUUAAAAUUCGUUCUAAAAAGUAUGAAUGUAACAAUAAAAAAACUUCAAUUAGCGAAGCAGAGCUCAUAAAUUAUAUGGAAACAAUGGGCCAUAAUUACAAUGUGCACACUUGGAGGAAACAUUUGAUACAUGCGAGAUUUCUUAUAAAGCAAAACCCUCAGUGGAAUAUAGCAACAACAGAUGGGGAAAACUACAAAUUUUUAAUAGUAAAUCCUGUAUUUUGCUUUUUGGUCACAAAGCUUCAAAGUUUCUUUGUGAUUAUUGGUAUAGGAGCUAUAAUUGCUCUACUGUCUGGAAUAAGCUAUACAAUAUAUCGUUACAUCAGGGCUUGGCGAGUGAAUCGUUCUAAUAUUAUUGAACAGUUCACUACAGACAUUGUAAACGAACUCAUUUAUAGAGCUUCUCUUAGCGAAACUCCAGAAGAACGUGAAGUGAUUAUAAUUCAUUUGCGUGAUAAACUGAUUCCUUUUAAGAAACGAAGCACUCAUUUAAAAUUUUGGAAAGAAGCAUUACAAAUUUUAGAUGCAACAGAUAGCCGAAUACAAUUUGGUGUAAAAAAUGUGGAUGGAGAAGAUUAUCGAACAAUGAAAUGGAUAGGUAAUGCAAAUGGUAAUACUCGAGCAAAUGGGCUUCUUAAGAAAUGGCAAAGUCCAGCAUUCGAUUGCGCAAAUAAAAUUGAUAACCCACCUACUUCAUGUUUAAAAAUUCGGCAUAUGUUUGACUCCUCAGAAGUCAACAUUCCGAAUUUGAAACAAAUAAUAGAAGCAGCUCUAAUAGAGAAAGUGGGAACUCGUUGUUGUAUUCAAGAUAUCCAGAUUGAUAAACAAAGUUGCUGUGUUUAUGUUCGAUGUGGUAGUGAGAUUGAUGCUGGUAUAAUACAUAAUGAGAUUAAUGGCUGGUGGUUCGACAAACGUUUAAUAUCGAUUAAAUUCUUACGACUACAGCGGUAUCUAGCACGUUUUCCGAACAGUGUGGGCUUAGAUUCCUAAGUAAAACAACAGCCUGUUGACUUUUGUAUUUAAAUACAUUUAUUGUAAUUAUCCUUUUAUUUAAUUUGAAUGAAAAAAACGGCAGUUAAACGAAGCAGCGAAUAUCGUCUGCCUUACUAAAUAAUAUGAUCCUUCGUAGAUCCUGCGCGUUUAAAGGGGGAUACACGACAUCAGCUUACUGGCGCCAUCAAGGGAUUGUAAAAUCAAGCUCGAAGCAUAGAACAUACCAGCAUGCUGGUACAAUAUUUAUUUCUUUA